RNAcentral lists this ribosomal RNA (1329 nucleotides) under metagenome. RNAcentral's name for it is "SSU rRNA". It matches the Rfam family "Eukaryotic small subunit ribosomal RNA", at positions 499 to 1823 of the family's 1831-position model. The record is from RNAcentral.
GGCUUGGUAAUUGGAAUGAGGGAGAGUUAAACGGACCAUCGAGUAUCCAUUGGAGGGCAAGUCUGGUGCCAGCAGCUGCGGUAAUACCAGCUCCAAUAGCGUAUAUUAAAGUUGUUGCAGUUAAAAAGCUCGUAGUUGGACUUGUGUGCGCUGUCCGCGGGUGGCCUGCGCCCAAAAGGGCGUUUCGGUUCGGCCCCGGUGGCGCCUUGAAAUCUGCAGCUGGGGGGACGUUGGCCUUAACUGGUCGGCGACCGCACGCCGGCUGCUCGAUUACUGUGAGAAAAUUAGAGUGUUCAAGGCAGGCAUUGGGUGCAAUUGAAUACAUUAGCAUGGAAUAAUAAAAUAUGGCUCCUGCCGUAUUUUGUUGGUUUUGACUGGUGGGAGUAAUGAUUGAUAGGGACGGUUGGGGGUGCUAGUAUUGAGCGGCCAGAGGUGAAAUUCAUGGAUUCGCUCAAGACUAACUUAUGCGAAAGCAUUCACCAAGGACGUCCUCUUUAAUCAAGAACGAAAGUUGGGGGAUCGAAGACGAUCAGAUACCGUCGUAGUCUCAACCAUAAACUAUGUCGACUUGGGAUCGGCGGUAGUUUUUUCAUUAAGACACUGUCGGGACCACGGGAGAAAUCAAAGUGUCUGGACUCUGGGGGAAGUAUGGUCGCAAGGCUGAAACUUGAAGGAAUUGACGGAAGGGCACCACCAGGAGUGGAGCCUGCGGCUUAAUUUGACCCAACACGGGGAAACUUACCAGGUCCAGAGAUGUAGAGGAUUGACAGAUUGAAGCUCUUUCUUGAUCACUUCGGUGGUGGUGCAUGGCCGUUCUUAGUUGGUGGAGUGAUUUGUCUGGUUAAUUCCGUUAACGAACGAGACCUCAGCCUGCUAGUGUAGUCGGCUGGAUUGCCUUUGGCGAUCCGUGAUUUCGACUUCUUAGAGGGACAAUCGACGCGCAGUCGAUGGAAGUUUGAGGCAAUAACAGGUCUGUGAUGCCCUUAGAUGUUCUGGGCCGCACGCGCGCUACACUGCUGGGCUCAGCGAGUUUUACUUGGCCGAGAGGCCCGGUUAAUCUUGUGAAAUCCCAGCGUGCUUGGGCUCGCCUCCUGCAACUGGAGGCGCCAACGAGGAAUUCCUAGUAGACGCAGGUCAUCAACCUGCAUCGAUUACGUCCCUGCCCUUUGUACACACCGCCCGUCGUUCCAUAAGAGUGAGGCAUCCGGUGAAUUCUCGGGAGAGCCUGGGCGUGGCCAGCAAUGGUCUGCUCGGGUUUGAACUUGCAUAAACUUGGUGCCUAUGAUUAGGGAAAAGUCGUAACAAGGUUUCCGUAGGAACCUGCGGAAG